UCGAGUGUUGCCCCCCUCGUAAAAAAAGGGGGGUACCUCCCGUCCUUUGCUGGGGGCCCCCUCUUUUUAUGGGGGGGGCUUUUUCAGAACUUUCUGCUUCGGCGGGGUUGCCCCGCCGGAACACCCUCAAGAAAAUCUCGAAUAAAACUGUUCAGUCCGAGUGUUGCUACAAUAAAACA
This 179-nucleotide unclassified non-coding RNA is filed under the name uncultured Venturiales. RNAcentral's name for it is "sequence contains ITS1". Lineage: Eukaryota; Fungi; Ascomycota; Dothideomycetes. The record is from RNAcentral.